This 253-nucleotide ribosomal RNA is filed under the name uncultured bacterium. RNAcentral describes it as "partial 16S ribosomal RNA". It matches the Rfam family "Bacterial small subunit ribosomal RNA", at positions 524 to 776 of the family's 1533-position model. The record is from RNAcentral.
UACAGAGGGGGCAAGCGUUAUUCGGAAUUAUUGGGCGUAAAGGGCGCGUAGGCGGCCAUUCAAGUGACGGGUGAAAGCCCUCGGCUUAACCGAGGAACUGCCUGUCAGACUGGAUGGCUUGAGACCGGGAGAGGUGAGUGGAAUUCCCAGUGUAGCGGUGAAAUGCGUAGAUAUUGGGAGGAACACCAGUGGCGAAGGCGGAUCUCUGGGCCUGUCCUGACGCUCAGGCGCGAAAGCUAGGGGAGCAAACAGG